CUUCAAGGGUGAAAAAUUGAUCCUUAUCACCCGUCAUGUGCCUUGAGCAGCCACUAUCCAAAUACCAGCAGUUUUUGUUGACCUUGGCUGCAAGACACUCCUACACAAGCAAAUCAUGUCAACUUAGGUACCCAAGUUUUCUUGGGUCCUUCAUGGUUAGUCAAGUUGGUUCCUUUUGGAACCCAUACCCUUUUAAUUUUUCUUCUUGAUUUACCUUUCCUAAAAUUACACACAUUUGCUUUAUGACCUAUAGUUCCACAACAAAAGCAGGUUAUUUUCUUAGUUUUAGUUUCCCCAGCUUUAACAAAGAAGUUACUAAGAAGUUUUUGUUUAUUUCUUGGUUUAUAUCCUAAACCCGCUUUAUUAAAUACUGCUCGUUGACUAUUGAGUAUCAUAUUUAACUUUUCAGAACUAUAUGUAAAUUUUUCAACUAAGGGUUUGUAUUUGUUAAGUUCUUUAGUUAGUGUUUAAUUUUCUGUUUUUAGAUCAUUUAGUUCGUUU
This 501-nucleotide long non-coding RNA is filed under the name Phoenix dactylifera (date palm). Its description in RNAcentral is "long non-coding RNA (PDAC_LNC004979)". The record is from RNAcentral. Lineage: Eukaryota; Viridiplantae; Streptophyta; Magnoliopsida; Arecales; Arecaceae.